GAGCGYGUAGGCGGGUAGUUAAGUCAGAAGUGAAAUCCAAUAGCUCAACUAUUGAACUGCUUUUGAWACUGAUUACACUWGAAUAUGGKAGAGGUAGAUGGAAUUUCUGGUGUAGGGGUGAAAUCCGUAGAGAUCAGAAGGAAUACCGAUUGCGAAGGCRAUCUACUGGAACAUUAUUGACGCUGAGACGCGAAAGCGUGGGGAGCAAACAGGAUUAGAUACCCUGGUAGUCCACGCCCUAAACGAUGUACACUAGUUGUUGUGAGGCUCGACCUUGCAGUAAUGCAGCUAACGCUUUAA
RNAcentral lists this ribosomal RNA (300 nucleotides) under uncultured bacterium. RNAcentral's name for it is "bacterial SSU rRNA". It matches the Rfam family "Bacterial small subunit ribosomal RNA", at positions 565 to 863 of the family's 1533-position model. The record is from RNAcentral.